RNAcentral lists this ribosomal RNA (547 nucleotides) under Macrotermes sp. ENT-MG313. RNAcentral's name for it is "partial small subunit ribosomal RNA". It matches the Rfam family "Bacterial large subunit ribosomal RNA", at positions 1802 to 2609 of the family's 2925-position model. The record is from RNAcentral. Lineage: Eukaryota; Metazoa; Arthropoda; Insecta; Blattodea; Termitidae.
GUUUUWCAAAAACAUCUUUUCUUGUUAGUUUUUGAAGUAUGGCCUGCCCGCUGAUUUUAGGUUGAAGGGCCGCGGUAUUUUGACCGUGCAAAGGUAGCAUAAUCAUUAGUUCUUUAAUUGUGAUCUGGUAUGAAUGGCUUGACGAGGCAUGGGCUGUCUUGGAUUGGAAUUGUUUAUUGAAUUUGGUUUUUGAGUUAGAAUUCUUAAAUGUUUUUAUGGGACGAGAAGACCCUAUAGAGUUUAACAUUUAUUUAUAUAGCUUGUUUAUAGGUUUGUUUUGUAGUUGCUUUGUGUUAAUGUGUUUUGUUGGGGUGAUGGGAAGAAUUUUCUUAACUCUUCUUUAUUUUGGUAUAUUGAUUUAUAUUGGUUUUGAUCCAUUUAUUUUGAUUAUAAGAUUAAAUUACCUUAGGGAUAACAGCGUUAUCCUCCUUGAGAGUUCUUAUUGGCGGGAGGGUUUGCGACCUCGAUGUUGGAUUAAGGUUGAUUUUUGGUGUAGGAGCUGAAUUGAUUAGGUCUGUUCGACCUUUAAAAUCUUACGUGAUCUGAG